RNAcentral lists this ribosomal RNA (704 nucleotides) under Arthrobacter sp. SMCC G940. RNAcentral describes it as "bacterial SSU rRNA". It matches the Rfam family "Bacterial small subunit ribosomal RNA", at positions 22 to 738 of the family's 1533-position model. Lineage: Bacteria; Bacillati; Actinomycetota; Actinomycetes; Micrococcales; Micrococcaceae. The record is from RNAcentral.
GCUCAGGAUGAACGCUGGCGGCGUGCUUAACACAUGCAAGUCGAACGAUGAUCCGGUGCUUGCACCGGGGAUUAGUGGCGAACGGGUGAGUAACACGUGAGUAACCUGCCCUUAACUCUGGGAUAAGCCUGGGAAACUGGGUCUAAUACCGGAUAUGACUCCUCAUCGCAUGGUGGGGGGUGGAAAGCUUUUUGUGGUUUUGGAUGGACUCGCGGCCUAUCAGCUUGUUGGUGAGGUAAUGGCUUACCAAGGCGACGACGGGUAGCCGGCCUGAGAGGGUGACCGGCCACACUGGGACUGAGACACGGCCCAGACUCCUACGGGAGGCAGCAGUGGGGAAUAUUGCACAAUGGGCGCAAGCCUGAUGCAGCGACGCCGCGUGAGGGAUGACGGCCUUCGGGUUGUAAACCUCUUUCAGUAGGGAAGAAGCGAAAGUGACGGUACCUGCAGAAGAAGCGCCGGCUAACUACGUGCCAGCAGCCGCGGUAAUACGUAGGGCGCAAGCGUUAUCCGGAAUUAUUGGGCGUAAAGAGCUCGUAGGCGGUUUGUCGCGUCUGCCGUGAAAGUCCGGGGCUCAACUCCGGAUCUGCGGUGGGUACGGGCAGACUAGAGUGAUGUAGGGGAGACUGGAAUUCCUGGUGUAGCGGUGAAAUGCGCAGAUAUCAGGAGGAACACCGAUGGCGAAGGCAGGUCUCUGGGCAUAA